CAGAUGUACACACAAAACUUCACUGAGGCUAUUGUCUCACUAACGUGUCUCGCACAAUCAUCCGGUGAUGAGACUGUCUGCGUCCCGGCUUUAAAUGGCAAACACAUAAUGGCAGCCUGAUGGGUGGGUGUGUGGACCAAGGCCGGGAGCCUGCAGUGAGCUCCGCCCAUACGGCAGGGUGAGAGAAAGAGUAGUAAACAAAAACACAUGUAGCCUUGUGGGGCCAGCCGGGCAGACACGGGGACCAUGAUAGCCCUUAUUCAUUACUGCCAAUACAAAAGGAUCAAAAGUCUGUGCUGUGGAGAGACGCCGUAUGGCUCGGCACAACGUGGAGUUCUCUGUUGUAAUAAGACCUUGUACGAGGACAGAGAUGAUGGAGAGGAAUGUUCAGAGAUGGGUAUUCCUUACAACCCGGCUAAAGGGACCAUAUGUUGUUCUCAGUUUCAUGGCAGCCCAGGACAACACUGCUGUGGGACAGAAAUUUACCGGCCUCGUACUGAGAUCUGCUGCAAUGGACACAGACAUCUGAAAUCAGAAAACAUUCACUGCUGUGGGGUCAAAGCCUACAACAUUAAAGACCCACAGAUGAAGUGCUGUGCAGGAACACUGUACAAUCUGACAUCAUUAGACAAGCAUGGAGGGGAUGCGCAGUGCUGCGGAUCCAUUCUGCAAAAGCCACAGGACAUUUGCUGCUCAAGUGAGGACAAAGAGGUGCUCUACUCUGCCAAAAUAGGGUUCAGAUGCUGUGGUCACCUUUACUAUAACACCACCCUGUGGUCAUGCUGUGCUGGGGGGCUGAGAAGAAUCCGUGAACCAGGACAGGAUCAGAGAAAGAUGAUUAAUGGAUCCAGACUUCUAUCUGUGAAUAAUCUGAACAAAAUCGAUCUUUGCAAAGAAAUGCACAUUGGGACUGUGGAAAGUGUGUCGCUGCAGAGCAUUGUGUUCAGGAGUGUGCUGAAGGUCCAUGGGAUGGAGGCCAAAGUGAAAGCUCUGCCAUUCCCUUACAUCCUGGAAAGAGAUGAUCGCUGCAGCUCCCCUAAACUGAUUGCUGGGAAGACCUACUACUUUAACAAAGUUAAUGUUUUCAUUGAUUUCAAUCAUGACUCUGUUCUUCAGUCACUCCAUUUCAUUAUUUGCAAAUGUUCAUCUCAGGUCACCACUGGCUGAUGUAUACAUGGUCAGUGUGGAUCUGUUGCUCCCUUCUUUGAACAAGUUCUCUUUUUUCACAUAUUUACUCACAGUGUUGGCUUUGUCACACAGAAAAUUAAUUAAUUACACAUCACAUUAUACUGGUUAACAUUAUUUUACAAAGUAAUUUGUUACCAUAUUUAUUACAGAGUACUUGUUGCAUUGCAACCUAAUAUACUCACCCCAAAUUACUCUCUGAUGCACCCAUCACAGUGUGAAUGUUUGCUUGAACUUAAACACAGAAAGAAGUCGUUGUAUGAAUGUGUGAAUGAGGGACGUUGUAUCAAGCGCUUUGAGUGCUCAGGUAGGGUAGAAAAGUGUUAUAUAGAAGAACCUGUCCAUUUAUCAGUAGUAUACAAUACUUCACAUGAUAUGUUGUUUAUACAUUACUCUGCCUAUGUCCAGCCAAACCAUGUUGCUCUGUUGUUAACACAUCCCAAGAUGUCUUAUCACAGACAGAAUUUAGGUACUUUAAGUAAAGAAAACAAAAAACAAUGUAGCUUUUAACUUCAGUUUUACAGGGACUCACAUUGUAGUGAUUCACACAACUUGACAUUAAUCAAUACUGUAACACAGUAAGCUGGUGCACAAUGUUGUUUCUCAAAUCUAAAUUUGAACAAAAUCUAAAUGUAACUUUGAUUCUUGCACUGAUCUAAAAUACAAGGGACAACUGUGUGCACAUGUCCUUGAACCAUACAAUUCAAUACUUGUGGUAAAGUCCAUGAUUUACUGUGAUUGUUAAUUCUAAUGAAUGAUAAACACUUAAUGCCAAUAUCAUGAAUACAAAUAUGUUAGAAGGACCCACUAAAAAUUCCAUUAGUUUCUGUUUCUUUGAAUGUGAUUCAUGUAAAAUAGUUAAUGGUAAGGAUAGGUAUGGGAAUUUAAGAAUGGUAAGGAAUCUAGUAAGGACUUGAGGGACAUUUAAGCUAUAAGCAAACAUAAACACUGCCUGCUUGAUUUAGUGACUUUGUUGUUAAUAUAAUAUAUUGCAUAUAUAUAUUGUAAAUGUUUAAUAUUUGAAUGGACCUAUUAUCCUUUAAGGAUUCAAAUAAAUAAAUACAAACACUUAUUAAACCUGCUGUGUUUUCUCUUG
Long non-coding RNA from Oreochromis niloticus (Nile tilapia), 2281 nucleotides. NCBI's taxonomy places the organism in Eukaryota, Metazoa, Chordata, Actinopteri, Cichliformes, Cichlidae. The record is from Ensembl.